UGCAGAUUGUUGCGUUGCAGCUUUCUGGUAAGCACUCUUAUACUAUGACAUUUUCAUGUCAAUGAUCAUUGUAUACUCUGUUCAAUUUUUCUGUACUCAGUGUUGUGAAUUAUCUAAUUUGUUCUUUGUAACAUGAUCACAGUGGUCCGAAUUGCCUCGAAUUGUGUCUUUGGACUGAGGUAUCGUAUUAAUAUAAUUGAUUUCGAUGUGAUAAAAUUUAUGAAUAAAUUAGCAAUGUGGUUUUCAUCAAUUUGAAAGAUGAAAUUCAGGCUUAGCUUUGCCCUUCUGCACUCUAUUACUACAUUUUCCUAGACGUAGACAUACAUGGAAUUUAGUUUUGUUUAUGUUUGGAUGCUUUCUUUAUUGUUUUCAGAUUUAAUUUCUGAUUUUUUUAUCUGUGUAUUUUAGGUUCGAUUGUUAGCCUUGAAUCUGUUUCAAUUUAUUUAAUUGAGUUGUCUUGAAUCUGUAUUUUUGGCAUGAAUCUACUUAACUUGUUGUUGAUUAAAUGCAUUCAUUCUUUUAUUUGUUUUCUCCCUUUUUUCCUUAUGUAGCAUGUUUGUGUUAGUAUCUUAUUGAUGAAUGAAUGCUAAUAUUUGGGUUAAUUAGUUUUUUUAUUGAAUAAUUAUUUAUUGAUUGAAUGACUGGUCUAUAUUUGUUUUUCAAAGGUUUAGAUUCUGUCAUUUUGUGCUGAACUAAUCAUUUCCUGCUCUGAUAUUCUAUAGUUGUGAUAUUUGAUCAGGAUGCAGGUUUGACACUUUGUCGAAUUGGAACAAUGAUGAUGGAGAAGCCAUGGGAGCUGCAAAACAUGUUUUGUUUGCAGCUCCCUUAACUGAUACAAGUGAAUAUAUUUGGUGCUUUACGUUUUUUUUUUUUUUGGUCAUGGGUUGUAAAAUUUAAUUUCGUAGUUUUAUGAUGAUUGUGAAAUUUAAUUUGAUAGUUUAGAUACUUUUAAAAAAAAAAAAAAAAAACAGGUUAUAGUUGAAUUUACAUAAUUUGGGCAAGGAAAACCUUUAAUUGAUGGGCUGCUUGAAAAACUGGUAUUGUUAAAAAAAAUAAACAAUAUUGGGCUUUUGGAAAGAAAAAAAAAAAGAUUUUGGGCUCAACCCAGAACCGACCAAAAAACCAGAACCGAACCUUGUAUGUUCGGGUCGGCCCAACUUCGGGUUUCAUUUUAGACCCGAUCCAACCCGAGAACCGCAGUACUGGUCGGUUCGGCCCACGGGUCAGUCAAAAUUUGACCCGACCCGAACCGUGCCCAGGCCUAGA
This 1266-nucleotide long non-coding RNA is filed under the name Prunus dulcis (almond). Lineage: Eukaryota; Viridiplantae; Streptophyta; Magnoliopsida; Rosales; Rosaceae. The record is from RNAcentral.